UACGGAGGGGGCAAGCGUUAAUCGGAAUUACUGGGCGUAAAGCGCACGCAGGUGGCUGAGUCAGUCGAUUGUGAAAGCCCUGGGCUUAACCUAGGAAUUGCAGUCGAUACUACUCAGCUAGAGUAUGGGAGAGGGCAGUGGAAUUCCCGGUGUAGCGGUGAAAUGCGUAGAUAUGCGGAGGAACACCGAUGGCGAAGGCAAUCCCCUGGGCCUGCACUGACGCUCAUGCACGAAAGCGUGGGGAGCAAACAGG
Molecule: ribosomal RNA, 253 nt
Filed under: uncultured bacterium
Lineage: Bacteria
Description: partial 16S ribosomal RNA
Rfam family: Bacterial small subunit ribosomal RNA
Source: RNAcentral